Molecule: long non-coding RNA, 510 nt
Organism: Nerophis lumbriciformis (worm pipefish)
Lineage: Eukaryota; Metazoa; Chordata; Actinopteri; Syngnathiformes; Syngnathidae
Source: RefSeq, a predicted model, not a curated record
UCUCCACUCCAUGCUGCCGCUGCCAAGGUAGAAAUGUCUCUUGUCGACCACCCAGAAGGAUGAGUGGAGGUGACCCUUGGUCAGCACUGUGGUGUUCACAAAGUGAACCUCGGCACCUGCAAGCAUUAAGAAGCAGGCUGGAAGCUGGACUCGUAUUCGGAGGAGUUGAGGAGCCACAGCGGUGACACGAUCUCCACAACGCGGACGGCUUGAUCCAAUCACCUUAGAAUGAAGACAAAGUCAACAAUGGCGUCUCUCAGGUCUGCCUGGUUGGCCACGCCUAUAAGAACAGCUGAUAGGCAACACGUCACAGUGGUCAGGUGACCCUUCUUAAGAAGAUUGCCGAUGACAGUCGAAACAUGUCAGGACAGCGUCAGAAGCACAGCAAGUUCAAUGCAGGAAAUAUAUUUUUACAACUGAAAGCAGCAAUAGCAUUACAAUAAAAUGAACUUGAUAUCAAAUAGAAGGAGGCAACAUCCCACAGCAAACAACACACAACAAGUAGCACAC